This 826-nucleotide long non-coding RNA is filed under the name Carica papaya (papaya). RNAcentral describes it as "long non-coding RNA (CPAP_LNC003759)". Lineage: Eukaryota; Viridiplantae; Streptophyta; Magnoliopsida; Brassicales; Caricaceae. The record is from RNAcentral.
GGUGAAACGGGCCGUCCCCAUACCCCGUCCGGUAUGGGCGCCAAAACCAUAAACCUCAAUACCCCGUCCGGUAUGAGGGUGAAACGGGCCGUCCCCAUACCCCGUCCGGUAUGGACGCCAAAACCAUAAGAUCUCGAUACCCCGUCCGGCAUGUGAGACCACAAUCCCGGUAGGGUUCCCUACGGACCCGGUCCGUCCACCAUCUCCCAGGAUAUCUAGUCAGGCUGACCCCCAUAAUACAAUUAUCAGUCUACACAAUCUUUCAUUUUCCUUUUCCUCAGUUAGCAUCAUCAAUUCACAUACAAACAAGCAAAACAGUAAUUCAUGCCAAACAGACAACAUACAGUAUCAGUUUUUUCAGUCAUUCAACCCAUGAUUAAUAAAAACGUAGUAUAUGCACACAAAUCUGUAAAAUGAACACAUCAAACCUCAUUUUGCAUUUAAAGCUGUAAACAGGCCAAAUAACAGUAAAUCACCAAUCACACUAGACUCGGGCUCCAUUAGCCACCUUAAGCAAUUUCACACAUUCGUUAAUUCAAGAAAUACCGUUUUAUCAUUUUGAACUUUAAUACCGUGAUAGGAAAUAGGGUGAGGGGUCCUUACUUGUUUUCGGGAUCCGAAUACGAUUCACAGUGCGCCUGCAGGCUGUCCCUAAUUUUCCCUGAAUUUUUCCCGGGGAACUGAAACACACUAACAGUACCUGCACGUGUUCCAAAAAAAAUCCAUAUUAGGCCCAGGGCCUCUUUCGGCCCAAAUCGCAACUCCGGCACGGCGGCUCCGCCGUGCUCCGGCGACGGCGCCGCCGCUGGCGGCGGCGAGUCGCCUC